UACGGAGGGUGCAAACGUUGCUCGGAAUCAUUGGGCGUAAAGCGCACGUAGGCGGCCCGUUAAGUCGGGUGUGAAAGCCCAGGGCCCAACCCUGGAAGUGCAUUCGAUACUGGCAGGCUUGAAUAUGGAAGAGGGUCGCGGAAUUCCCGGUGUAGAGGUGAAAUUCGUAGAUAUCGGGAGGAACACCAGUGGCGAAGGCGGCGACCUGGGCCAAUAUUGACGCUGAGGUGCGAAAGCGUGGGGAGCAAACAGG
RNAcentral lists this ribosomal RNA (253 nucleotides) under uncultured bacterium. Its description in RNAcentral is "partial 16S ribosomal RNA". It matches the Rfam family "Bacterial small subunit ribosomal RNA", at positions 524 to 776 of the family's 1533-position model. The record is from RNAcentral.